ACGGGUGAGUAACGCGUGGGAACAUACCCUUUUCUACGGAAUAGCUCUGGGAAACUGGAAUUAAUACCGUAUACGCCCUACGGGGGGAAGAUUUAUCGGGGAAGGAUUGGCCCGCGUUGGAUUAGCUAGUUGGUAGGGUAAAGGCCUACCAAGGCGACGAUCCAUAGCUGGUCUGAGAGGAUGAUCAGCCACAUUGGGACUGAGACACGGCCCAAACUCCUACGGGAGGCAGCAGUGGGGAAUAUUGGACGAUGGGCGCAAGCCUGAUCCAGCCAUGCCGCGUGAGUGAUGAAGGCCUUAGGGUUGUAAAGCUCUUUCACCGAUGAAGAUAAUGACGGUAGUCGGAGAAGAAGCCCCGGCUAACUUCGUGCCAGCAGCCGCGGUAAUACGAAGGGGGCUAGCGUUGUUCGGAAUUACUGGGCGUAAAGCGCACGUAGGCGGAUAUUUAAGUCAGGGGUGAAAUCCCAGAGCUCAACUCUGGAACUGCCUUUGAUACUGGGUAUCUUGAGUAUGGAAGAGGUAAGUGGAAUUGCGAGU
Molecule: ribosomal RNA, 537 nt
Filed under: uncultured bacterium
Lineage: Bacteria
Description: bacterial SSU rRNA
Rfam family: Bacterial small subunit ribosomal RNA
Source: RNAcentral